CCUACGAGCUGCAGCAGUGGGGAAUAUUGGACAAUGGGCGAAAGCCUGAUCCAGCCAUGCCGCGUGUGUGAAGAAGGCCUUCGGGUUGUAAAGCACUUUCAGUGGGGAAGAAAGCCUUGGGGCUAAUACCCUCGAGGAAGGACAUCACCCACAGAAGAAGCACCGGCUAACUCCGUGCCAGCAGCCGCGGUAAUACGGAGGGUGCGAGCGUUAAUCGGAAUUACUGGGCGUAAAGCGCGCGUAGGCGGUCUGAUAAGCCGGUUGUGAAAGCCCCGGGCUCAACCUGGGAACGGCAUCCGGAACUGUCAGGCUAGAGUGCAGGAGAGGAAGGUAGAAUUCCCGGUGUAGCGGUGAAAUGCGUAGAGAUCGGGAGGAAUACCAGUGGCGAAGGCGGCCUUCUGGACUGACACUGACGCUGAGGUGCGAAAGCGUGGGUAGCAAACAGGAUUAGAUACCCCUGUAGUC
This 465-nucleotide ribosomal RNA is filed under the name Vreelandella stevensii. RNAcentral describes it as "partial 16S ribosomal RNA". It matches the Rfam family "Bacterial small subunit ribosomal RNA", at positions 338 to 795 of the family's 1533-position model. Lineage: Bacteria; Pseudomonadati; Pseudomonadota; Gammaproteobacteria; Oceanospirillales; Halomonadaceae. The record is from RNAcentral.